AACAUCGCGCACCUGCGGGAACCUGCGGAAGGAUCAUUACAGAGUUGCAAAACUCCCUAAGCCAUUGUGAACGUUACCUAAACCGUUGCUUCGGCGGGCGGCCCGGGUCCUUCCCGGCGCCCAUCGGCCCUCGCGGGCGCCCGCCGGAGGUAAACCAAACUAUUGCAUUGUAUGGCCUCUCUGAGUCUUCUGUACUGAAUAAGUCAAAACUUUCAACAACGGAUCUCAGAUCGGAAGAGC
Molecule: unclassified non-coding RNA, 240 nt
Filed under: soil metagenome
Description: partial contains 5.8S ribosomal RNA, internal transcribed spacer 2, and large subunit ribosomal RNA
Source: RNAcentral